UAAAGUCCACAAGUCAAAUAACAAGCCAGGAGUCAAAACCAGAGCUGGUAGUGAGACGAGCCGAGUCAGGAGCCAAAGCGAAUAGUCAGAGAGCCAGAAUCAGGAACAAGGAAAACAGCAGAGUCAGGAACAAGCCAGGAAUCAGGAACCAGGAAGGACGUCAGGCAGCCAGGUAAUACACAGGAACUCUCACAAACUGUUCUGAGACAACGCAAAGGCAAAGCAUACUGAACAGAGGCCCUUUAAAUAAUAAGUGAUGACAUCACAAUUCUGAGACUGCAUCCUGUCUCACAUGGAUGAUGCACACCAGUUUGGCCAUAAAAGGAAGUGCAGGAAUUGAGCAGCAUCCCCCACAAUGCACCAAAGUCAGGAAGAGAGGAUUGCCGGUUGGGUUCUUGGAGUAAUCUUUGCAGGAUGCCCACCCCUAGGGAGAGCAGCAACAGUCUUGCAUUUUUUUGAUUUGUAGACAGUUUCUCUUAUCUUGAUGAAGACCCAGGCCUUUAGCAAUGCUUUUGUAACCUUUCCAGCUUCACACGUCUCUAUAAUGCAUCUUCUAAGGUCCAGUGAAAGUUGUUGGGAUAGGCUCAUGAUUCACACUAACCAGAAGAACAGAUUUGUCCGUAGGAUUUGUGUGUUAUUUAAAGGGAAAGGGCACCUGUGCAACCUACACCUCUAAGUUCACCUCCAUUGUGAAACACUUUAUCCCAAAUACCUUUUGGGGAAGUACUGAACAUCCUCUGUGUUAAAGGGACAUAAAACUAAAAAAAAAAAAUUAUUUCAUGAUUCAGACAGAGAAUACAAUUUUAAACAACUUUCCAAUUUACUUCUAUUAUCUAAUUUGCUUCAUGCUCUUGAUAUCCUUUGUUGUAGAAGCAGCAGUGCAUUACUGGGAGCAAGUUAAUGCAUUGGAUGAGCCAAUAACACAAGGCAUAUAUUUGCAGCCACCAAUCAGCAGCUUCUAUGCCUACCUAGAUAUCAUUUUCAAGAAAACAUGCUGAGAAAACACAACAAAUUAGAUAAGAAAAGUACAAUGGAAAGUUGUUUAAAAUCACCUGGUCUAUCUGAAUCAUGAAACAAAAAAAUUGGGUUUUGUGUUCCUUUAAAAGCUUCUCCGCGUCUCACUUUUUCCAGCCCUGCACUGUGAAUGAUUACUCAAUGUCUUCAAUAAAAAUGUGAAAAGUACAA
Molecule: long non-coding RNA, 1185 nt
Organism: Bombina bombina (fire-bellied toad)
Lineage: Eukaryota; Metazoa; Chordata; Amphibia; Anura; Bombinatoridae
Exons: 2
Source: RefSeq, a predicted model, not a curated record